UACCCUUGACAUGUCCGGAAUCCUGCAGAGAUGCGGGAGUGCUCGAAAGAGAACCGGAACACAGGUGCUGCAUGGCUGUCGUCAGCUCGUGUCGUGAGAUGUUGGGUUAAGUCCCGCAACGAGCGCAACCCUUANCAUUAGUUGCUACGCAAGGGCACUCUAAUGAGACUGCCGGUGACAAACCGGAGGAAGGUGGGGAUGACGUCAAGUCCUCAUGGCCCUUAUGGGUA
RNAcentral lists this ribosomal RNA (230 nucleotides) under uncultured bacterium. Its description in RNAcentral is "partial 16S ribosomal RNA". It matches the Rfam family "Bacterial small subunit ribosomal RNA", at positions 976 to 1210 of the family's 1533-position model. The record is from RNAcentral.